CCUACGGGAGUCAGCAGUAGGGAAUAUUGGACAAUGGGCGAAAGCCUGAUCCAGCCAUGCCGCGUGAGUGAUGAAGGCCUUCGGGUUGUAAAACUCUUUUCUGAGGGAAGAACAACCGGGAAAGGAAAUGUUCCCGGCCUGACGGUACCUCAGGAAUAAGCAACGGCUAACUCCGUGCCAGCAGCCGCGGUAAUACGGAGGUUGCGAGCGUUGUUCGGAAUAACUGGGCGUAAAGGGAGCGCAGGCGGUCUGGUCAGUCUGAAGUGAAAGCCCGGGGCUUAACCCCGGAAGUGCUUUGGAUACUGCCAGGCUAGAGUACGUGAGAGGAGAGCGGAAUUCAGGGUGUAGCGGUGAAAUGCGUAGAUAUCCUGAGGAACACCGGUGGCGAAAGCGGCUCUCUGGUACGAAACUGACGCUGAGGCGCGAAAGCGUGGGGAUCAAACG
RNAcentral lists this ribosomal RNA (444 nucleotides) under uncultured prokaryote. RNAcentral describes it as "bacterial SSU rRNA". It matches the Rfam family "Bacterial small subunit ribosomal RNA", at positions 338 to 774 of the family's 1533-position model. The record is from RNAcentral.